This 152-nucleotide non-coding RNA is filed under the name Punica granatum (pomegranate). Its description in RNAcentral is "Bacterial large subunit ribosomal RNA". It matches the Rfam family "Bacterial large subunit ribosomal RNA", at positions 1854 to 1996 of the family's 2925-position model. Lineage: Eukaryota; Viridiplantae; Streptophyta; Magnoliopsida; Myrtales; Lythraceae. The record is from Rfam by way of RNAcentral.
GAUGCCUACCCAGUGCUGGAAGGCCGAGGAAGUUGGCGACCUAACAAGAGGGGAGCCGGCGACCGAAGCCCUAGUGAACGGCGGCCGUAACUAUAACGGUCUAAGUAGCGAAAUUCCAAGAAAUGAUUGAGAGUUUACAAAAUCGAAAUGUA